UAGAACAACGUGGAAGCGGCUGGGGCCGACUGGCAGCGUGUUGGGGUCUCCAGCUGCCUAUCAUUUUACUGGACAUUUAAAAAGCACUGUUCUAGGCACUUGGGAGACACCAGAGAAGCUGGUGAGCCAGUGUGAAGAACUGGUGGGAAAGAACUUGGAAAGGUCCAGGGAAACAGGCCAAGAUGUCCCUUUCAGAUGAGGGGACACGGGUUCGAGCCCUGGUCCGGGAAGAUCCCACAUGCCGCGGAGCAGCUGGGCCCGUGAGCCACAAUUACUGAGCCUGCGCGUCUGGAGCCUGUGCUCCACAACAAGAAGGCCGCGAUAGUGAGAGGCCCGCGCACCGCGAUGAAGAGUGGCCUCCGCUUGCCACAACUAGAGAAGGCCCUCGCGCAGAAACGAAGACCCAAC
Long non-coding RNA from Eubalaena glacialis (North Atlantic right whale), 408 nucleotides. RefSeq lists it as uncharacterized. The record is from RefSeq and is a predicted model, not a curated record. The transcript has 3 exons. NCBI's taxonomy places the organism in Eukaryota, Metazoa, Chordata, Mammalia, Artiodactyla, Balaenidae.